This 429-nucleotide ribosomal RNA is filed under the name Chloroflexota bacterium. RNAcentral describes it as "Chloroflexi bacterium partial 16S ribosomal RNA". It matches the Rfam family "Bacterial small subunit ribosomal RNA", at positions 355 to 776 of the family's 1533-position model. The record is from RNAcentral. Lineage: Bacteria; Bacillati; Chloroflexota.
UGGGGAAUAUUGCACAAUGGGCGCAAGCCUGAUGCAGCCAUGCCGCGUGUAUGAAGAAGGCCUUCGGGUUGUAAAGUACUUUCAGCGGGGAGGAAGGCGUUAAGGUUAAUAACCUUGGCGAUUGACGUUACCCGCAGAAGAAGCACCGGCUAACUCCGUGCCAGCAGCCGCGGUAAUACGGAGGGUGCAAGCGUUAAUCGGAAUUACUGGGCGUAAAGCGCACGCAGGCGGUCUGUCAAGUCGGAUGUGAAAUCCCCGGGCUCAACCUGGGAACUGCAUCUGAUACUGGCAAGCUUGAGUCUUGUAGAGGGGGGUAGAAUUCCAUGUGUAGCGGUGAAAUGCGUAGAGAUGUGGAGGAAUACCGGUGGCGAAGGCGGCCCCCUGGACAAAGACUGACGCUCAGGUGCGAAAGCGUGGGGAGCAAACAGG